AGCUAGUUGGUAGGGCAAUGGCCUACCAAGGCAAUUAUCAGUAGCUGUUCUUAGAGGAAGACCAGCCAGACAGGGACUGAGACACGGCCCUGACUCCUACGGGAGGCAGCAGCAAGGAAUUUUGCGCAAUGGGCGAAAGCCUGACGCAGCGACGCCGCGUGAGGGAUGAAGGCCUUCGGGUCGUAAACCUCUUUUCCUGGGGAAGAAUAAUGACGGUACCCAGGGAAUAAGUCUUGGCUAACUACGUGCCAGCAGCCGCGGUAAUACGUAGGAGGCAAACGUUAUUCGGAUUUACUGGGCGUAAAGCGGGUGUAGACGGCUUCUUAAGUCAGUUGUGAAAUCUCCCGACUUAAUUGGGAGGAGUCAAUUGAUACUGAGAGGCUUGAGGGCAGCAGAAGAAAGCGGAAUUCCCGGUGUAGCGGUGAUAUGCGUAGAUAUCGGGAGGAAUACCAGUGGCGAAGGCGGCUUUCUAGGUUGUUCCUGACGUUGAUGCCCAAAAGCGUGGGGAGCGAAACGGAUUAGAUACCCGUGUAGUCCACGCCCUAAACUUUGAACACUAGGUAUGGUGAGUAUCGACCCUCUUCGUGCCGAAGCUAACGCUUUAAGUGUUCCGCCUGGGGACUACGGUCGCAAGACUAAAACUCAAAGGAAUUGACGGGGGCCCGCACAAGCAGCGGAGCGUGUGGUUUAAUUCGAUGCAACGCGAAGAACCUUACCAAGGCUUGACAUACAAGAUGUAGAAACCUGAAAGGGCGACGACCGGUAUCCAAUCCGGAGCUUGAACAGGUGCUGCAUGGCUGUCGUCAGCUCGUGCCGUGGGGUGUUAGGUUAAGUCCUGCAACGAGCGCAACCCUUGUCGCUAGUUAAAUUUUCUCUAGCGAGACUGCCCUUUAAUGUGGAGGAAGGUGAGGAUGACGUCAAGUCAGCAUGGCCUUUAUGCCUUGGGCUACACACACGCUACAAUGGGUGAUACAACAGGUUGCUAAGAAGCGAUUUAGAGCUAAUCCCCAAAAUCAUCCUCAGUUCAGAUUGUAGGCUGAAACUGCCUACAUGAAGGCGGAGUUGCUAGUAACCGCAGGUCAGCACACUGCGGUGAAUACGUUCUCGGGCCUUGUACACACCGCCCGUCACGUCAUGGAAGUCGAUAACACCUGAAGUCAAUAGGCUAACCUUAUCGAGGCAGUUGCCGAGGGUGGGAUCGAUGACUGGGACGAAGUCGUAACAAGGUAGCCGUACGGGAACGUGCGGCUG
This 1251-nucleotide ribosomal RNA is filed under the name metagenome. Its description in RNAcentral is "bacterial SSU rRNA". It matches the Rfam family "Bacterial small subunit ribosomal RNA", at positions 243 to 1520 of the family's 1533-position model. The record is from RNAcentral.